Molecule: ribosomal RNA, 253 nt
Filed under: uncultured bacterium
Lineage: Bacteria
Description: partial 16S ribosomal RNA
Rfam family: Bacterial small subunit ribosomal RNA
Source: RNAcentral
UACGUAGGGGGCAAGCGUUGUCCGGAUUUAUUGGGCGUAAAGAGCGUGUAGGCGGCCACACAGGUCAGCUGUGAAAACUCGAGGCUCAACCUCGAGACGUCGGUUGAAACCGUAUGGCUAGAGUCCGGAAGAGGGGAGUGGAAUUCCCGGUGUAGCGGUGAAAUGCGCAGAUAUCGGGAAGAACACCCGUGGCGAAGGCGGCUCUCUGGGACGGUACUGACGCUGAGACGCGAAAGCGUGGGGAGCGAACAGG